RNAcentral lists this ribosomal RNA (388 nucleotides) under uncultured bacterium. Its description in RNAcentral is "bacterial SSU rRNA". It matches the Rfam family "Bacterial small subunit ribosomal RNA", at positions 29 to 441 of the family's 1533-position model. The record is from RNAcentral.
AACGAACGCUGGCGGCAUGCCUAACACAUGCAAGUCGAACGAGACCUUCGGGUCUAGUGGCGCACGGGUGCGUAACGCGUGGGAAUCUGCCCUUGGGUUCGGAAUAACAGUUAGAAAUGACUGCUAAUACCGGAUAAUGUCUUUCGGACCAAAGAUUUAUCGCCCAGGGAUGAGCCCGCGUAGGAUUAGCUAGUUGGUGAGGUAAAGGCUCACCAAGGCGACGAUCCUUAGCUGGUCUGAGAGGAUGAUCAGCCACACUGGGACUGAGACACGGCCCAGACUCCUACGGGGGGCAGCAGUAGGGAAUAUUGGUCAAUGGGGGCAACCCUGAACCAGCCAUGCCGCGUAGCAGGAAUAAGGCCCUAUGGGUCGUAAACUGCUUUUGAAC